UACGUAGGGUGCAAGCGUUGUCCGGAAUUAUUGGGCGUAAAGAGCUCGUAGGCGGCUUGUCGCGUCGGCUGUGAAAACCUGGGGCUCAACCCCGGGCCUGCAUUCGAUACGGGCAGACUAGAGUUCGGUAGGGGAGUCUGGAAUUCCUGGUGUAGCGGUGGAAUGCGCAGAUAUCAGGAGGAACACCGGUGGCGAAGGCGGGACUCUGGGCCGAUACUGACGCUGAGGAGCGAAAGCGUGGGGAGCAAACAGG
RNAcentral lists this ribosomal RNA (253 nucleotides) under uncultured bacterium. RNAcentral describes it as "partial 16S ribosomal RNA". It matches the Rfam family "Bacterial small subunit ribosomal RNA", at positions 524 to 776 of the family's 1533-position model. The record is from RNAcentral.